GAGUUUGAUCAUGGCUCAGGAUGAACGCUGGCGGCGUGCCUAAUACAUGCAAGUCGAGCGGUAAGGCCCCUUCGGGGGUACACGAGCGGCGGACGGCUGAGUAACACGUAGGAACGUACCCCAAAGUGAGGAAUAACUGCCCGAAAGGGUGGCUAAUGCCGCAUGUGCUCUAAGGAGUAAAGCUUCGGCGCUUUGGGAACGGCCUGCGUCCGAUUAGCUAGUUGGUGAGGUAAUAGCUCACCAAGGCGACGAUCGGUAGCUGGUCUGAGAGGAUGAUCAGCCAGACUGGGACUGAGACACGGCCCAGACUCCUACGGGAGGCAGCAGUAGGGAAUUUUCCACAAUGGGCGAAAGCCUGAUGGAGCAACGCCGCGUGCAGGAUGAGUGCCUUAGGGUUGUAAACUGCUUUUAUAUGUGACGAAUAUGACGGUAGCAUAUGAAUAAGGAUCGGCUAACUCCGUGCCAGCCGCCGCCGU
This 476-nucleotide ribosomal RNA is filed under the name uncultured bacterium. RNAcentral describes it as "bacterial SSU rRNA". It matches the Rfam family "Bacterial small subunit ribosomal RNA", at positions 9 to 521 of the family's 1533-position model. The record is from RNAcentral.